Molecule: ribosomal RNA, 496 nt
Filed under: uncultured bacterium
Lineage: Bacteria
Description: partial 16S ribosomal RNA
Rfam family: Bacterial small subunit ribosomal RNA
Source: RNAcentral
AUGAACGCUGGCGGCGUGCCUAAUACCUGCAAGUCGAGCGAACAGACGAGGAGCUUGCUCCUCUGACGUUAGCGGCGGACGGGUGAGUAACACGUGGAUAACCUACCUAUAAGACUGGGAUAACUUCGGGAAACCGGAGCUAAUACCGGAUAAUAUAUUGAACCGCAUGGUUCAAUAGUGAAAGACGGUUUUGCUGUCACUUAUAGAUGGAUCCGCGCCGCAUUAGCUAGUUGGUAAGGUAACGGCUUACCAAGGCAACGAUGCGUAGCCGACCUGAGAGGGUGAUCGGCCAAACUGGAACUGAGACACGGUCCAGACUCCUACGGGAGGCAGCAGUAGGGAAUCUUCCGCAAUGGGCGAAAGCCUGACGGAGCAACGCCGCGUGAGUGAUGAAGGUCUUCGGAUCGUAAAACUCUGUUAUUAGGGAAGAACAAAUGUGUAAGUAACUAUGCACGUCUUGACGGUACCUAAUCAGAAAGCCACGGCUAACUACGUG